CUAACCUUCAACCUAAAUGUCCUAGAAGAGUAUGAAUUCAGGACACUUGGUGGGCAAUGGCGGGGCGGAGUGGGGGUGGGGAAAGACUUCGGUCAGCGAGAAGAGGAAAGAAAGCAGAAAAAGCCAAGGCCAAGGCCUAGGGGCGGAGAGGGGGUAGAGGGUGUUGUAGACCCUCCCUUAUAACCAGAGAAAGGCAAACUCUAACCGCAGGGAGGUGAUGCCACUCGUGGGCAGUCAGAUUGGAGAAGAGCGAGAUGAUUGAUUGACAGGGAGGUGCGCGCUGUGGCCCAGCGCACAAACAGGCGGUUGUCCGUGCUUGUGCACGAGGCGGAAGUGGGGCGCUCCUGCUGCACUGGCCGCCGGAGUUGGGGGCGAGCUCGGCGGUGACGUGGGGUGCUCACGUGAUCGCGAGCUGCAGAGCGACGCAGCCUUCGGUGCAGUCGUCACUCCUGUCUGGGUACCAGCUCCCCACUCCCCUGCGCACGGCGGGUUGGCAUCAGGCCCGCAGCAAGCGGAGCAGGUCUGCCGAACCAAGUGUGGCGGCGGCGCACUCGUGGCGAGGAUCAGAAGGAGCAAGAGACAGCAAGGAUAGGCCCAGAAAAAUAAC
RNAcentral lists this long non-coding RNA (607 nucleotides) under Bos grunniens (domestic yak). Its description in RNAcentral is "lncRNA (ENSBGRG00000023158.1)". The record is from RNAcentral. Lineage: Eukaryota; Metazoa; Chordata; Mammalia; Artiodactyla; Bovidae.